GGGAUGUAGGUGUGUAGUGUCACCCAUGGGACCUAAAUCCAGCAUCAGGACUUAUGAGAUUGGAGAGUACAGACCUGGAUCUCCACACUGGGUCCCAUUUUCUUCCCUAGAGUGUGCUGGGGAGCCAGGGGAGAGUUGUGAGCUGGGAAGGGACAGAUAGCCUCUGGUAUCUUGAGGCAGGAGAAUGACUGAGGUUCUUAGAGGUGCAGCCGAGAGGGGAGAUACACGUGUGUGUGGAACUGCCUUCAUCCCCCACUAAUUGCUACCGGCUGUGCACAGAGGGAUGCACCACUGGAGGAGCCCAGUUCUUUGCAGUGUCCUCAGGCUGGAGACUCAGGGGACAUACAUGGUGAGAAGCCUCCUGCGGUGAUGCCUGUGUGGGCUUGAACCCCAGCUCUGACGGCUGUCAGUGGAAUGACCUUCAGUGUUCCGACAUGGCGACCGGGCCCCACUGGCCUCCUACCCCACAGAUCCACACAAGGAAGCUGCCUCCACCUUGUGGCCCCGAGGUUUGGGCCAACUGACUAAGGAGGGCAUCCGCCAGCAGCUGGAACUGGGCCGAUUUCUGAGGAGGCGUUACAAGGCCUUCCUGAGCCCUGAGUACAGGCGCGAAGAGGUGUACAUCCGCAGCACAGACUUUGACCGGACAUUGGAGAGUGCACAGGCCAACCUGGCUGGGCUCUUCCCCGAGGCUGCCCCUGGAAGUCCUGAGGCUGACUGGAAGCCCAUUCCAGUGCACACAGUGCCUGUGUCUGAGGACA
This 761-nucleotide long non-coding RNA is filed under the name Rattus norvegicus (Norway rat). RNAcentral's name for it is "long non-coding RNA NONRATT002588". Lineage: Eukaryota; Metazoa; Chordata; Mammalia; Rodentia; Muridae. The record is from RNAcentral.